UCACCUUACCCUUUCAACUUUUUUAUUCCUUUUUUAAAUAUCAAUUGUCCUUUUUUUUUUUUUUUAAAUAAUAGCCUCUUCCCCCUCUAAUUCCCCUUAUAUACAUACACCCAACACUAACACACCCCUUUCUACCUCCCUUCACUCUUAAAUGCACAUCUCUCUCAUCCCCUUUCUCUCCCUAAAACUCCCCCCUGUUGCUGCAUCCAUUUCUAGUUGACGAAUCCGCCGCCAGUCUCGACACCAACAACCAACAUCACCCCCACGCUGCCUUUUUCGACGCCUCUCGCCGGAGGUGAUGACCGGUGAGUUUUGGCUGAACCAUCAUAGCGCCCCCAGUUUAUUUAUUUAUUUGUGUUUGAUAUUGUUAUUUUAAAAUGCUAUUUUCUUUGAUGUUGAUCUUUUCUUCUUAUUUAAUAGAAUAUUAAUAUGUUAUCUUUGAAUGUUUAUUGUAUUUAUCUCCUCUGUUUUGGUUAGCUACUGAUUAGUUUGUUAUUUAGAGUAUUUGGGUGACUGCAUGUUUAUUUUUCCUAAUCUCUCUUUGAUAUUUAGUGUUAAUUAAUUAUUUGGCCAAUGAAAUUAUCUCUCCAUCUGGAUACUUGAGGUUACCGUUAGUUAUAAAAAAAGACGAACUUUAUUUUAUAAAAUUAUUUAUCUUUUGAAAAUAUGUACAUGACUUUGUUUAUCUUUUUCUUGAUUUUAUGGAUGACAUUGACUUUGUGGUUAAUUCAUUUAUUGAUUGCUUUAUUUUUCUUCACAUGUGGCUAGUUCUUUUUUAUUUAGGCCUUUAGAUCAAUAAUAUAUUCUUUUAAAGUUUUCCAACGGACCACAUUUCUACUAGGGUUAGAUACUUUUUGCUACUUGUUUUGGAUUUACUUUAACAUUGUUAUUUUUUGAUGAUUUGAUAUUAAUUUUACUACAAACAUAAAAUAAACACAUGGCCAAUGAAGAAUUUUUUUUUCAUCAAUUUUUAAGGCCUUCAAAAAUAAAAGUCGGAUGAUAUGUAUAUAAAUAUGCAAUAAAAUAAAUAUUUUGCGCAAUGAUGAAUUUUUAUUUUUAUUAUUAUUGUUAUUAUUAUUAUUAUUAUUAUUAUUGUUAUUAUUGAAAACUUUAUCUGAGCCCGCUUUCUCAAUAAAAAUUAUAUUUUUUUGAAAUACAUAUAUGUGCACAUGUCUUUUAUAAUUUAUUUGUUACUAAUAUUUUUAUUGCAAUUGUUUGUACAGGUUAUCGGGAAUACUUGUCGGGAAUGACAUUCAAAGAAGACUUUAAAUUGUGUAUUUGUAUUUUUAUAUUCUUACCUUGUACAAAUAUUAAUUAUAGUGAAACUUUAUUUUUGGGGUGUUGAACGGG
Molecule: long non-coding RNA, 1350 nt
Filed under: Capsicum annuum
Lineage: Eukaryota; Viridiplantae; Streptophyta; Magnoliopsida; Solanales; Solanaceae
Description: long non-coding RNA (CANN_LNC002406)
Source: RNAcentral